GGAAACUGGACGUGAUGUGGAAUUAGAGCCUACCCAGCUGAAGCCACCCAACACUUACUACAAAUAUAGCCGCGAUGCGUAGGCCACAAAAUGGCUCCACUCACUUUUCCCAAUGAAAAGCAAAUGUCACCCCGAAUGACAGCAAAACACCGAGGGUAUCGUUGCGGGUUUGUGUAUUUCGUUCUUAACGAAUGCGGGAGGAGAAGCCAUCGGGAUUAUUUCGUUUUUUACGAAGGGGAAACCCGUAUUUUUCAUGAUUUCGUUGGCGCGGGGGGGGGGAACCGGCCUCGCCUUCCUGUUGAUCCGCGGCGGGAGCGGGCUCACCCCGCCGGCGGCCCGGCCCCGGCCGUCGCGGCCCCUCGGCCGGGAGCGCUGCCGGUACCCGGCCCCUUUAGGAACCCAAUUUGCCCCUUGAGGAAUUAGAUUUUCCAGCCGGGCGUGGAGAAACGCCGCCAAUGCCGCUCCUUGCGAGCCCAACGGGAGAAAAACAACCCCGUGUCCGGCCCCGUCCGGGAUUUCCUCCCGGGGAGACCGGCCUUGCAAUGUGUCCAAAAACCCGCCCAAUUCGCCCCAAAUAGAGGCUGUAUUUUUUCCUUAUUCUUUUUCCUUUUUAACAUAUUUACUUUCUCCACGCCAGGCCGUGGCCGCCACGCGUUGUGGCCCAGUAGGCGAGGCGGUGGCAGUGUGGGGGGGACCCACUGGUGGCCUCUGUCCCCCCCAUAAUGGGGACCACCCCGGGGUGCCGUCCCCUCCUUCCCUCUCCCCUGCACCCCUCUUUCCCAUUGAUCUCUGGCAAUCCGGGCCCAUGAGAUCCACCCUCUCCUCUUUUUCUCCCCCACUUCUCUUCCUCCCAGGAUUUAGCAGUUUUAUCCCGGUGCGGGUGUCCUUCCUCCCUGUAAAGUCGUAAGUACCUUGAGGUGGGAGGAGUAAAUUCAGCCUGACACUGAGAGCGCUUUUGUUGAAACAGGAGAGACUUGCGGUGUCCCUACUUAAAUAUGACACAUGUGAGUAAUCUCUUCCUAUACAAUAUCGGAAUAGUCAAUUAGAUAUUUCUUUCUCGAGGGCUGGCGGGGAGGG
This 1077-nucleotide long non-coding RNA is filed under the name Strigops habroptila (Kakapo). RNAcentral describes it as "lncRNA (ENSSHBG00005007098.1)". The record is from RNAcentral. Lineage: Eukaryota; Metazoa; Chordata; Aves; Psittaciformes; Psittacidae.